This 87-nucleotide transfer RNA is filed under the name Nitrososphaerota archaeon. RNAcentral describes it as "Thaumarchaeota archaeon tRNA-Ser". It matches the Rfam family "tRNA". From Rfam's summary of the family: Transfer RNA (tRNA) molecules are approximately 80 nucleotides in length. Their secondary structure includes four short double-helical elements and three loops (D, anti-codon, and T loops). Lineage: Archaea; Thermoproteati; Nitrososphaerota. The record is from RNAcentral. RNAcentral also lists the same sequence under 2 other names.
GUCGGGAUAGCCAAGCCUGGUAAGGCGGACGCCUCGAAAGCGUCUGUGCAUCCGCACGCGGGGGUUCGAAUCCCUCUCCCGGCGCCA